GAUGAAGAACGUAGCGAAAUGCGAUAAGUAAUGUGAAUUGCAGAAUUCAGUGAAUCAUCGAAUCUUUGAACGCACAUUGCGCCCGCUGGUACUCCGGCGGGCACGCCUGUCCGAGCGUCAUUUCAACCCCCAAGCCCUCCUUCGGGAUGGGCCUGGUGUUGGGGCUCGGCCGCCAUCUCCGGCGGCCGUCCCCUAAAUACAGUGGCGGUCACGUCGCGACUCCUUUGCGUAGUAGAAACACCUCGCUCCGGAUAGCAACGCGGUCCACGCCGUAAAACCCCCAAUUUUCAAUGGUUGACCUCGGAUCAGGUGGGAAUACCCGCUGAACUUAAGCAUAUCAAUAAGCGGAGGA
This 352-nucleotide unclassified non-coding RNA is filed under the name soil metagenome. RNAcentral's name for it is "partial contains 5.8S ribosomal RNA, internal transcribed spacer 2, and large subunit ribosomal RNA". The stretch from base 1 to 120 matches the Rfam family "5.8S ribosomal RNA", at positions 35 to 154 of the family's 154-position model. The record is from RNAcentral.